AUACGUAGGGGGCGAGCGUUGUCCGGAAUGAUUGGGCGUAAAGGGCGCGUAGGCGGCCCGGUAAGUCUGGAGUGAAAGUCCUGUUUUUAAGAUGGGAAUUGCUUUGGAUACUGUCGGGCUUGAGUGCAGGAGAGGCAAGUGGAAUUCCCAGUGUAGCGGUGAAAUGCGUAGAGAUUGGGAGGAACACCAGUGGCGAAGGCGACUUACUGGACUGUAACUGACGCUGAGGCGCGAAAGUGUGGGGAGCAAACAGGAUUAGAUACCCUGGUAGUCCACACUGUAAACGAUGAAUGCUAGGUGUAGGGGGUAUCGACCCCUUCUGUGCCGCAGUCAACACAAUAAGCAUUCCGCCUGGGGAGUACGGCCGCAAGGUUGAAACUUAAAGGAAUUGACGGGG
RNAcentral lists this ribosomal RNA (397 nucleotides) under uncultured bacterium. RNAcentral's name for it is "partial 16S ribosomal RNA". It matches the Rfam family "Bacterial small subunit ribosomal RNA", at positions 523 to 918 of the family's 1533-position model. The record is from RNAcentral.